RNAcentral lists this long non-coding RNA (251 nucleotides) under Elaeis guineensis (African oil palm). Its description in RNAcentral is "long non-coding RNA (EGUI_LNC055089)". The record is from RNAcentral. Lineage: Eukaryota; Viridiplantae; Streptophyta; Magnoliopsida; Arecales; Arecaceae.
UGAUAGGCUAUUAAUAAGGACGACAGCUUCUAUCGAGCAUAGGUCGCUGUAGGCUAUAUGGAUUGGUUGUCCUCUUAACCAAAAAGUAUGGAGACACUAGCAUGGCAUACAGGUGAGAUGUAAGGGUACAUCUCAUUGAACAUGACCAACUUCAGAGCAUUUUGCUGUCGAGAAUGCCUCUGAUGGGAUAUAGGUAUAAGUGUCCCUUAGACCUGAGAUCACCUUAGUGACUUGCAAGCAACUCACUAUGC